GCGGAAGUAGUUCAGUGGUAGAACACCACCUUGCCAAGGUUGGGGUCGCGGGUUCGAAUCCCGUCUUCCGCUCCA
RNAcentral lists this transfer RNA (75 nucleotides) under Bacillus spizizenii. Its description in RNAcentral is "tRNA-Gly". It matches the Rfam family "tRNA". From Rfam's summary of the family: Transfer RNA (tRNA) molecules are approximately 80 nucleotides in length. The record is from RNAcentral. RNAcentral also lists the same sequence under 1 other name. Lineage: Bacteria; Bacillati; Bacillota; Bacilli; Caryophanales; Bacillaceae.